Molecule: ribosomal RNA, 604 nt
Filed under: uncultured bacterium
Lineage: Bacteria
Description: bacterial SSU rRNA
Rfam family: Bacterial small subunit ribosomal RNA (bases 1-520)
Source: RNAcentral
CCUACGGGAGGCAGCAGUGGGGAAUAUUGGGCAAUGGAGGAAACUCUGACCCAGCGACGCCGCGUGCGGGAUGAAGGCCUUCGGGUUGUAAACCGCUUUCAGUAGGGAAGAAGCGAAAGUGACGGUACCUACAAAAGAAGCACCGGCUAACUAUGUGCCAGCAGCCGCGGUAAUACAUAGGGUGCAAGCGUUGUCCGGAAUUAUUGGGCGUAAAGAGCUCGUAGGUCGUUUGUUACGUCGGAUGUGAAAACCUGAGGCUCAACCUCAGGCCUGCAUUCGAUACGGGCAAACUAGAGUUUGGUAGGGGAGACUGGAAUUCCUGGUGUAGCGGUGGAAUGCGCAGAUAUCAGGAGGAACACCAAUGGCGAAGGCAGGUCUCUGGGCCAAUACUGACACUGAGGAGCGAAAGUCUGGGGAGCGAACAGGAUUAGAUACCCUGGUAGUCCAGACCGUAAACGGUGGGCACUAGUUGUGGGAACCUUCCACGGUUUCUGCGACGCAGCUACGCAUAGUGCCCGCCGUCGGGAGGUACGAGCGCGAGAGUAAACGUACGAAGAAGUAGUAACGGUCGUGAGAGUGCGACGGACGACGACGAGGGAGGAGG